Molecule: ribosomal RNA, 490 nt
Filed under: uncultured bacterium
Lineage: Bacteria
Description: partial 16S ribosomal RNA
Rfam family: Bacterial small subunit ribosomal RNA
Source: RNAcentral
AUUGAACGCUGGCGGCAGGCCUAACACAUGCAAGUCGAACGGUAACAGGAAGCAGCUUGCUGCUUCGCUGACGAGUGGCGGACGGGUGAGUCAUGUCUGGGCAACUGCCUGAUGGAGGGGGAUAACUACUGGAAACGGUAGCUAAUACCGCAUAACGUCGCAAGACCAAAGAGGGGGACCUUAGGGCCUCUUGCCAUCGGAUGUGCCCAGAUGGGAUUAGCUAGUAGGUGGGGUAACGGCUCACCUAGGCGACGAUCCCUAGCUGGUCUGAGAGGAUGACCAGCCACACUGGAACUGAGACACGGUCCAGACUCCUACGGGAGGCAGCAGUGGGGAAUAUUGCACAAUGGGCGCAAGUCUGAUGCAGCCAUGCCGCGUGUAUGAAGAAGGCCUUCGGGUUGUAAAGUACUUUCAGCGGGGAGGAAGGGUGUAAAGUUAAUACCUUUGCUCAUUGACGGUACCCGCAGAAGAAGCACCGGCUAACUCCGUG